Molecule: ribosomal RNA, 730 nt
Filed under: Takahashia japonica
Lineage: Eukaryota; Metazoa; Arthropoda; Insecta; Hemiptera; Coccidae
Description: partial large subunit ribosomal RNA
Rfam family: Eukaryotic large subunit ribosomal RNA (bases 315-730)
Source: RNAcentral
CCGUGAAUCCGGGCGCGCGGAAUUCAGGACCGACGGACGUGUUCGUCGAUUCGAUAUUUCCGCCGCCGACCCGCAACGGGUGCGGACGUCGCGACCCGUUCGCCGCCGGUCUCACGGGGCGCGCAUCAAGUUCGNUCGCGCGUUCGUCUCGGGGGGCGGCGAUGGCGCGCUUUUUCAGCGGUUUUGCGGACGGUAGCCUCGGUGCGGGUAAUCGACGCGGCCACGGCCGACGUCUCUCGCGUUGGUCGGCGCGCGCGUCGACGCCGGUCAGCGACGAAUCUUCGGGCCUCUUUCCGACCCGUCUUGAAACACGGACCAAGGAGUCUAACGUGCGCGCGAGUCGCGGGGUAUCCGAGUCGGUACGCGAUUCGUCACGAUACGAAACCCGUGUACGUACGUUGUGCGAAGGCGUAAUGAAAGUGAAAGGCGCGCUCGCGCGCGCCGUCGGGGAAGACGGCGUUCCGAGUACACGUUUCUCGGUCGUACGGUACCGAGACCGGGCGCCCGCAUUCCCAGGGCGUCCCGCUCGUACGUCGGUGGCGCGGACGCGCGUCGACCGCCGACGAACUGGGGCGCACCUCUAGCGUGCACGUUGGUACCCGAAAGAUGGUGAACUAUGCCCGGCCAGGAUGAAGUCAGGGGAAACCCUGAUGGAGGUCCGCAGCGAUUCUGACGUGCAAAUCGAUCGUCUGAGCUGGGUAUAGGGGCGAAAGACUAAUCGAACCAUCUA